Molecule: ribosomal RNA, 706 nt
Filed under: Salmonella enterica
Lineage: Bacteria; Pseudomonadati; Pseudomonadota; Gammaproteobacteria; Enterobacterales; Enterobacteriaceae
Description: bacterial SSU rRNA
Rfam family: Bacterial small subunit ribosomal RNA
Source: RNAcentral
GUGGCUUCCGGAGCUAACGCGUUAAGUAGACCGCCUGGGGAGUACGGCCGCAAGGUUAAAACUCAAAUGAAUUGACGGGGGCCCGCACAAGCGGUGGAGCAUGUGGUUUAAUUCGAUGCAACGCGAAGAACCUUACCUGGUCUUGACAUCCACGGAAGUUUUCAGAGAUGAGAAUGUGCCUUCGGGAACCGUGAGACAGGUGCUGCAUGGCUGUCGUCAGCUCGUGUUGUGAAAUGUUGGGUUAAGUCCCGCAACGAGCGCAACCCUUAUCCUUUGUUGCCAGCGGUUAGGCCGGGAACUCAAAGGAGACUGCCAGUGAUAAACUGGAGGAAGGUGGGGAUGACGUCAAGUCAUCAUGGCCCUUACGACCAGGGCUACACACGUGCUACAAUGGCGCAUACAAAGAGAAGCGACCUCGCGAGAGCAAGCGGACCUCAUAAAGUGCGUCGUAGUCCGGAUUGGAGUCUGCAACUCGACUCCAUGAAGUCGGAAUCGCUAGUAAUCGUGGAUCAGAAUGCCACGGUGAAUACGUUCCCGGGCCUUGUACACACCGCCCGUCACACCAUGGGAGUGGGUUGCAAAAGAAGUAGGUAGCUUAACCUUCGGGAGGGCGCUUACCACUUUGUGAUUCAUGACUGGGGUGAAGUCGUAACAAGGUAACCGUAGGGGAACCUGCGGUUGGAUCACCUCCUUACCUGAAAGAAGC